Molecule: ribosomal RNA, 469 nt
Filed under: uncultured bacterium
Lineage: Bacteria
Description: partial 16S ribosomal RNA
Rfam family: Bacterial small subunit ribosomal RNA
Source: RNAcentral
GACGAACGCUGGCGGCGUGCUUAACGCAUGCAAGUCGAACGGUGAAGCGAGUGCUUGCACUCGUGGAUCAGUGGCGAACGGGUGAGUAACACGUGAGUAACCUGCCCAUCACUCUGGGAUAAGCACUGGAAACGGUGUCUAAUACUGGAUACGACCAACCCUUGCAUGGGGUGUUGGUGGAAAGAUUUAUCGGUGAUGGAUGGACUCGCGGCCUAUCAGCUUGUUGGCGGGGUAAUGGCCCACCAAGGCGACGACGGGUAGCCGGCCUGAGAGGGUGACCGGCCACACUGGGACUGAGACACGGCCCAGACUCCUACGGGAGGCAGCAGUGGGGAAUAUUGCACAAUGGGCGAAAGCCUGAUGCAGCGACGCCGCGUGAGGGAUGACGGCCUUCGGGUUGUAAACCUCUUUCAGCAGGGAAGAAGCGAAAGUGACGGUACCUGCAGAAGAAGCACCGGCUAACUACGUG